RNAcentral lists this long non-coding RNA (253 nucleotides) under Elaeis guineensis (African oil palm). Its description in RNAcentral is "long non-coding RNA (EGUI_LNC041482)". Lineage: Eukaryota; Viridiplantae; Streptophyta; Magnoliopsida; Arecales; Arecaceae. The record is from RNAcentral.
UAGUCUCGACAUAUCAUCUGCUAGUCUGAUUCCUGACAAGAAAUGGAAUCGGAGAGAUGCAUGGAGAUCAACAACUUGCCCGAUGCUACUUUUUGGUUUUCACACAGAAUAAUUAAUCUGAAUACUCUUUAUCCAUUGAUAAAUUGGACCAAAGAGAAAAUGAAAAAAGGGAUGAACCAACCAAGCAACUGGUUUCCAUUCCACUAAAAGAAGAAGAUCCUGAGAAGAUGAUCCAAAUUGGAUCGCAGCUACC